RNAcentral lists this ribosomal RNA (454 nucleotides) under uncultured bacterium. Its description in RNAcentral is "bacterial SSU rRNA". It matches the Rfam family "Bacterial small subunit ribosomal RNA", at positions 340 to 785 of the family's 1533-position model. The record is from RNAcentral.
UACGGGAGGCAGCAGUGGGGAAUAUUGCACAAUGGGCGCAAGCCUGAUGCAGCCAUGCCGCGUGUAUGAAGAAGGCCUUCGGGUUGUAAAGUACUUUCAGUCGUGAGGAAGGUGUUAAGGUUAAUAACCUUAGCAAUUGACGUUAGCGACAGAAGAAGCACCGGCUAACUCCGUGCCAGCAGCCGCGGUAAUACGGAGGGUGCGAGCGUUAAUCGGAAUUACUGGGCGUAAAGGGCACGCAGGCGGUUAAUUAAGUUGGAUGUGAAAUCCCCGGGCUUAACCUGGGAAUGGCAUUCAAGACUGGUUAGCUAGAGUCUUGUAGAGGGGGUAGAAUUCCAUGUGUAGCGGUGAAAUGCGUAGAGAUGUGGAGGAAUACCGGUGGCGAAAGGCGGCCCCUGGACAAAGGACUGACGCUCAUGUGCGAAAGCGUGGGGAGCAAACAGGGAUUAGAUAC